UGCGAGAAACUGGUGUUUCGAUCUGGGUAUAUCUCCACCAUCUCUCUCAUCGAUCUUCGUUUUCUGGGGUUGAAUCCAACGGUGGAUCCUGAAAAUCCACAACUACACCUCCGUCGUCAUCCCAGCAGAAGACCGUCGUUCCUCCCAGCUAAACCAUAUCCCCGAUCUUGAGAUCUGUAUUCUACCUCUCAAAUUUCCAUACUUCCUAACUUUCCAGAUCUUUAUGUUUUUGCCUCACAAAUAUACACGAUCGGCUAUUAGUGAUAUAUAUGGUGCAACCCUACAGUGAUGGGUUUGACAGUAAUAAACCGAUUCCCACUCAUUCAGUGUCCUCUUCGCCUUCGCCCCAUCGCGUCUGGGUCAAGCGAGCAGCGACAAUAAGCUUUGUGGCUGUGAGAGAGGGUUAAGCACGAGUCCAGUUCAAGUUGGUUAAAGCUGACUGUUGCCAGAUUGGAAGGGUUGAAGCAGAGCUCGGAGAAAAUAAUACGUUAAGGAAAAAGCACAGGAGGUAAACUAAACUCGACCUCCACACUGGUAUAUCCAUCACAGCCGCAAUUUCCAUCUUUGUCUUCUGCUCCUACAUCUGAGAUUUCCCCAUUUCCCAGGUUGGUCUCCUCCAGCUAUGUUUUUAUGGUUCUACAUAUUUUUGGGUAAUACAUCAUGAUAUUGAUUGGGUCUGUUGUUUUGUUGAAAUUCAAGACCGAGAAUGCAAAGAAAAGCAAGGCGGCAGGGAGCAACUUAUAGCUAGAAACGAAGGAAAAGGAGGUAAUUGAUAUCUAAAGAGACACUGUCUGAUGAUGUUUGAUGUAAUAUGUCAAAUUGUCCUGAUAAUGAAUAAUUGGGAUGCAUAUGGAGUUGUGGGUGUGCAUGGUAUAUUUGGUUAUAUUGCAGAGAUGCUAUCUGUGGUAUGUACAAACAUCGGUAUGCAGUGUAUGUAGUGAUUGUUGACUCUGCAGUGGGCUGGCAAAAGUUUGUGCUUUUGUUUCAUUUCUUCUGGUUUAUUAGUUGUCCACUUCAUUUCCAGCUUGUUCCAAAUAGAAGGGAUUGAGGGAUAUUUAUGUACCUGUUUCUUUUAGGAUUAGUUCUAGACAAGAUGUCACUAGGACUCGAUUUAGCAGAUAUGCUUUUGAAAUAAUAUGGAC
Molecule: long non-coding RNA, 1142 nt
Filed under: Fragaria vesca (wild strawberry)
Lineage: Eukaryota; Viridiplantae; Streptophyta; Magnoliopsida; Rosales; Rosaceae
Description: long non-coding RNA (FVES_LNC003781)
Source: RNAcentral